AUAUACUUUAAAAUAAAAAAAAUCAGUUCUGCAUUUUCUUUUAAACAGGCAUCUAACCAGCUUGUUUUUAAUUUUGAGAUUUUUUUUUCUUUCUUAAUUCUGAGUCAUUAAAGCUGAAAAUACAUUUUUAGGAUAUGUUGGUGCUGAGUAGAUUUUUAUUACAUAUUUUAAAAGGAAACAACUGUGUGAAUUUAGUAAAGAUACCUGUUUCUUUUCACAAUGCAUGUGUAAAUGUUUGUAAUCUGGCUUUAACUUCUCCCCUUCAGUGGUAUUGAAGCAAAUUGUACCGCUUCCAUUUCUUUUCCAGUAAAAACAAAACAAAAUUUUGGUACAUUAUUUGAUGAUUACAUUAAAAUGUGACAUUAUUCAAGAAAAAAAACACAAACAAACACCAUUUUGCUGUUUUAUUUGAACAGCGAUAGUGUUGAAUUCUUAAUGAUAGUUUCAAGCCUGUCUGGUUGGUGUGUUGGAGAAUAUUUUAGUAUUUACACUGUUUUUAAAAGUCUUCUGAGGACUAUGUUCAUCCGUAAAAUGUGCUUCCGUUCCCACAAUUUAGACCUGGAAGUAACCCACUAAACUAGCCUUGGAUUCUGUGUCAAGUGACUUCUUUUUUCUUCCGACUAUUCCACAUGUACAAAUGUCAACCCUCCAAUUCAUUGCUGCACAGAAGAUGAUAAAGGGAAACUGCCAUCUUGCUUUUUGUAGCGGACUGCAUUGCAAUAUUAGUGUGAUGCUCUGUCGGUCUGCGUUCUUCUAACACAGCCGUGGAUCGCUGUUUGUCCUAUUGCAGAGAUUGAUGUUUAUUAUGUUUGAACAGGACACAUCACUGUUCUCAAAAAUAAGGAAAAUAGUAACGCUGUAAGGCACAGAAAACAUUAACUAUUCCGUUUAUCUUCCUUUCUCCUGAUUUGGUUUGUUUAUCACAGUUGAAGUGAAAUUCACUUAAAGAAAAAGUCUCUCUAGAAUACCACUGUCACUUUCCUUGACUGUUUUAGCAUCACGUGUUCAUCACACCAGUAUGCAAAGAUUUUACCCAGUAAAUAGGGCUCGGUUUGAUUUUACAGUUUGAGAAAAUAACUUUAAAUGUUGUCUGCUAAAAAUGCAAAAAAAAAAAACUACUGGUACUUCCAGCGCUUUACCUUUUUUUUUUUUUUAAAUAUAUAUUAAAUUACAGCUCCACUAAAAUAAAAAUAAUUGACUUAAACAUAUUAAAUAUAUUUUCAGUAAUAUAUGGACACCGUUAAAAGGUAAGGGUCUUCUGUGGAGCACAGGAGAGCCUGUUGGCUCCAUUUACGUAAUCCUCUAUAUUGGGUAGCCAAUGUUUGUUCCCUGUGCUCAGCAAAACAGAUGUAAACACUGUUAUUCGGUUUUGGGAAUUUCAAAGACACUGCUAUUUCAGAUAGUCUUGUUUGUUGUUUUUUUUGUUUUUUUUUAAAGAAUGUAGAAUGUAAUAUACCAUCCCCGUUACCUUUUGAUGACAGUGUUCCAUUUUAAUACACAUUCUAUUGGUCCCUUCCGUUUAGGUUUCUUGGUGGCUUCUAGCCAGAUAAGUGACUCUCUGGUAAAGAGAAUGCAUUUAAGAAUUUCUCACUAUUAUAGCACAUUUUAAACAACUGAAAAUACGAUAGAAGCAUUAAUUUUUUUUAAAUUUAUUUUGUUUUGCAGAAGAAAAAUGGAAUAUAAUUUUGUGUCCUAAUUUUAUCCAUAAACUACCCUUUCUGAAAUCAGUGUGGGGAAUAUUUAGAUACAGGUGGUCUCAGUAGAAUGUCUUCAAAAUCUUCUAAAUAAAGGAAUUAUAAAGACUGCCAUGUAAUGCCAAAUAUAUUUGAUUUGAGCAAUGGCAAAAUGAAAAACAGAUUGAGUGUUCUUGACAUACACACACUUGGAGAGGUAAUUCUUGUUCAAAAAGCUUGCAUUCCAACUUUUAUAUGACCUGAUCCUUGUAACCAAAUUGUUGGUGUUAGUGAACUUUUGUUACAUGUAAAGUUUUAUGGUACAGUGCCUUGAGCUUUGGAAAGAUAGUUCAAAACACUGGCAGCAAUCAAAUCAUAACCUUUUGAGAAUGAAACUGUGUCUCUGUCUAGACAAUCGGUCAUUUUUCCUUCCCUUUUCAACGAUGAUGUCACUUAUUUAAUGAAUAAAUGCAGUUUUGGUAGUCAGGUCAGCAGCAAAUUAAUCCUCCUUGUGACAGUGAAUGUAGAAGAAUUCUCUGUAAAUUACUGUAUAUGAACGAAUGCCUUGGAACUGUGGACUGCAUACCUGUAAGCUUAAUUAAACAGGCGCUAGUUUCUGCAGUCUAAGUGGUGAGUGUUAGUUAUCAGCGUGUUUUGGUUAACCCUUUAUUCUGACCUGCUUUGUUAGUCUGUGGGUGUUGUUCCUCCUGCCAUUAAACCUGUCACCAGAUACCACUACGCCACAAUUUCAUGGAACUCUGUUUAACCAUUGCAGCAGUCAUUUUCUUUGAGAAACUUGUCCACCUAUAAGGACAUCAUCAAUUCUCGGCCUGCAUGUGGCCAUGGAAGGCUGUUUUGAGGAACGCUUCUAGUGUUGGUCCCUUAACUGGGUUCUAACCUAGGUAGUACUUUAAGGGUUUAAUGGACCUGAAACUCAAAAGUGCACAGGCGCCAAAUACAAAAUUUGUG
This 2642-nucleotide long non-coding RNA is filed under the name Pelobates cultripes (western spadefoot toad). The record is from RNAcentral. Lineage: Eukaryota; Metazoa; Chordata; Amphibia; Anura; Pelobatidae.